GAUGAACGCUGGCGGCGUGCUUAACACAUGCAAGUCGAACGAUGAAGGAGGGCUUGCUCUCUGGAUUAGUGGCGAACGGGUGAGUAACACGUGAGCAACCUGCCCCUGACUCUGGGAUAAGCGCUGGAAACGGCGUCUAAUACUGGAUAUGAGCUCCUGCCGCAUGGUGGGGGUUGGAAAGAUUUUUUGGUUGGGGAUGGGCUCGCGGCCUAUCAGCUUGUUGGUGAGGUAAUGGCUCACCAAGGCGUCGACGGGUAGCCGGCCUGAGAGGGUGACCGGCCACACUGGGACUGAGACACGGCCCAGACUCCUACGGGAGGCAGCAGUGGGGAACAUUGCACAAUGGGCGGAAGCCUGAUGCAGCAACGCCGCGUGAGGGAUGACGGCCUUCGGGUUGUAAACCUCUUUUAGCAGGGAAGAAGCGAGAGUGACGGUACCUGCAGAAAAAGCACCGGCUAACUACGUGCCAGCAGCCGCGGUAAUACGUAGGGUGCAAGCGUUAUCCGGAAUUAUUGGGCGUAAAGAGCUCGUAGGCGGUUUGUCGCGUCUGCUGUGAAAUCCCGAGGCUCAACCUCGGGUCUGCAGUGGGUACGGGCAGACUAGAGUGCGGUAGGGGAGAUUGGAAUUCCUGGUGUAGCGGUGGAAUGCGCAGAUAUCAGGAGGAACACCGAUGGCGAAGGCAGAUCUCUGGGCCGUAACUGACGCUGAGGAGCGAAAGGGUGGGGAGCAAACAGGCUUAGAUACCCUGGUAGUCCACCCCGUAAACGUUGGGAACUAGUUGUGGGGUCCAUUCCACGGAUUCCGUGACGAAGCUAACGCAUUAAGUUCCCCGCCUGGGGAGUACGGCCGCAAGGCUAAAACUCAAAGGAAUUGACGGGGACCCGCACAAGCGGCGGAGCAUGCGGAUUAAUUCGAUGCAACGCGAAGAACCUUACCAAGGCUUGACAUAUACCGGAAACGGCCAGAGAUGGUCGCCCCGCAAGGUCGGUAUACAGGUGGUGCAUGGUUGUCGUCAGCUCGUGUCGUGAGAUGUUGGGUUAAGUCCCGCAACGAGCGCAACCCUCGUUCUAUGUUGCCAGCACGUAAUGGUGGGAACUCAUGGGAUACUGCCGGGGUCAACUCGGAGGAAGGUGGGGAUGACGUCAAAUCAUCAUGCCCCUUAUGUCUUGGGCUUCACGCAUGCUACAAUGGCCGGUACAAAGGGCUGCGAUACCGUAAGGUGGAGCGAAUCCCAAAAAGCCGGUCCCAGUUCGGAUUGAGGUCUGCAACUCGACCUCAUGAAGUCGGAGUCGCUAGUAAUCGCAGAUCAGCAACGCUGCGGUGAAUACGUUCCCGGGUCU
RNAcentral lists this ribosomal RNA (1340 nucleotides) under uncultured bacterium. RNAcentral's name for it is "bacterial SSU rRNA". It matches the Rfam family "Bacterial small subunit ribosomal RNA", at positions 28 to 1381 of the family's 1533-position model. The record is from RNAcentral.